RNAcentral lists this long non-coding RNA (28837 nucleotides) under Sorghum bicolor (sorghum). RNAcentral's name for it is "long non-coding RNA (SBIC_LNC000956)". The record is from RNAcentral. Lineage: Eukaryota; Viridiplantae; Streptophyta; Magnoliopsida; Poales; Poaceae.
AGCUGAAUUUUGACGUAAUUUCUCUUGAUGUAGCUAGCAGGUGGCAGAGGUGUAUUUGAAAGUCAGCAGCAUUCUGAUAGCGAUUAGAAUGUCCUCCGUCUGCUAGUCUUCUUGAUUCUUAAAUUCUGUGGAGCUCAAAUAGACAACAAAGCUUGUGGAACUAAUUAAGUGUUAGCAUAAAUAUCUAGCCUUCAUCAUGUUGAGCUUCCUUAAUAAAUGUUAUUUAUUUAGCAGGAUCAUACACUUAUUAUUAUUAUAUAUAUAUAUUUUUUAUAUAUAUUUUUAUUGUAAGAUGAAAACUUAUUUAUUUUAUUUUUAUGCCACCACAGUGAAUGUACUUAUGGGUUUUAUGCCAUGAGCAUACUCACAUGGGGCUUACUAUUUUUUAACAUUUUUAUUUUCUUUUCAAGAUAGCAUGAACCUGAUUAACUAAGCAAAUUAUAAUUGAAUAAUUGAAAGGAAAGGGUAACUACCAAGUUUACCUCUUGGCAAGGCGUUCAGUAUUUUUAUGUCCUCCGAACGGGACUCUCUAUUUUCUCAGUCAUCCUGGGAUUCGCUAGGUGGUGUAGUCGGUGAUUCCGGCGGCGCCUCUCUUCGUGUAUAACUAUCUUCUCCCUCCAUACCUAACUCGAUGCUACGGUCUCCUCAGGACAGUUCUGUUCAAGCUGUAUGUCUUCAGUCCUUAUCACUUCUCCUUCAUAGUCUACCCAUCCGUUCUUGAUGAUUUGCCUCCUCUGGUUGCGGUUGCGUCGUCUUCUUGUCCUGACCUACUUAGAGUCAUCAACUAUAUAGUUAUGGUCAGUAAAAUAGUUGCGUACCUUCUCAGAGGGGAAGUACAUGUGGACUUCUCCGGUUCCAAUGUAGAUGAUUGCUUUGAUAGUAUUGAGGAACGGUCUUCCAAGGAUGGUGGGUGGAUCAUAUUCGUCUUCUCCCAUGUCAAUGCCCUGAAAAUCAUCUGGAGCUGAAUAUAUUGGUUGUAGGGGCAUGGUUCCAUGCAGGAGCUGAUAAGUGACUGCGGCCAUUAUGUUGUCGUCAGAUCCGGUGUCGUAGAGUGUCUUCUGAAAAGAGUAUCCAUUGAUUGCGCAGUCGAUGCUUGGAACACCAGGGUCGUCCUUCUUGAUCAAGAAAGGUGACUUGAGUCGACGAUGUUGACCUCUUCCGACAAGGAUCCAAUGUUUUAAGUCUUUUGGACAAGACUUUCUACCAUCUUCAUCCUUUAGGUGCAUCAUUUAAUUAGGUGUGGACCUUGACGUCUGCACCUCUUGAUACGGUGUCACCCAUGUUCUUCUUUGCCCAGCAGUUCGAAGUAUGGUGUUGGCAAUAUCCUGCUAAGUGUGUUUGUGCUCAUAGAUCCAGGUCCUUCACUUGGUGGAGUCUGGAAGUUGUAAAACUCCUCCAUGUUUUGCUUGAAGUGUACCUGUUCAUAGAGACAAGGCAGAGAUCAAGUGCAUGGGCUCUGUUGGUGGAAAACACCAACAGAACCAAAAGUGUAUUUGUUCUUCCUUAAGCAUAGUGAGCAAGACAAAGUUGAUGGAUAAUAAGAUCAUGAGUGUAGUAUUUGAAACAUUUGUCAGAUCAGAUGGCUCAACCUGAAAGAUAAUCUAUCUAUAUUUAUGUUUUGUUUAUAUCUUCCAAAUAUUGAAUGUGCAACAUAUUAGCUUAUAUGUUUAGGAGCGUGGGAUCACGAAGGUAGUACUAAGAACAAAGAUUAAAGGACUAAACAUGUUGAAUUAAUUGAGUUGGUUAUUCUAGAGUUAUAAAUCAUACAUGUUUGUCUCUUUAUUUAUGUGAAUGCUAGAACCAAGGAGAAGCUUAUAAAAGCGAUAGUCAAGUACCUUAAGGUGUUGCCUUACUUGAAGAGUGACGGUACAGUAUCACCUUGUGGAAGCUUUCCUUUCUUAGCGGUUGUGCAUCGUGUUUGUGGCACCCUCCAUGAAUCAUCUCUUAUGAGCCACGUCUUUCUUGUGGAAAUUGUUAAACUUCAUGUGUCACUUUCUUCAUCUCCAAUGCGAGUUUAACUCAGGACUUCCCAGGUUGAUAUUGAAAGUUUUCCUGCAGGGGUUAGUCCAACAAAAUAUCCCAUAUCUACUAUAGCAUACUAUCGGCUUAAAAAUCAACCUAGACACCAUGUCUAAUUUGAUUUAGAAGGGCAUUUUAACCUAAGCACCAUGCUUAAUUUAAAAUCCCUUGGAAGUAAGAUCAUCAUUCCUAAACUAAGCACAAUGCUUAAUUAAGAGAUAAAUGAAACUAUUCCAAACCUAGACAUAUACUAAAGCAAAUAAAGGUAGCAUGAGAGCAUUUAUAGAGAUCUACUUAAGUGGAGAUGAAGUAGUGUAAUUAGUAUUUAACAAAUUGAGCAUGUCUCAAAGGUAAGGACAACCAACGUAGCAACAUGGCAAAAGAUGUUUUUUAUGUAAAGUACUCCCCCAAGCUUGAAUUUUACAAAAUUCAAGUUUGGAUGAAUUUAAUUCAAUGUUGUGUGAUGGUUGGUUGGACAUACCCUGUGCUUGUCAUUCAUCCGAUCUUCUUGCUCCAAUCCUAGAAAGGUUAGUGACAAGAAUACUCGAAGGAAUAUUUCUACAAUUAUCUUUAUAUGCUCAAUACACAAGGCAAUGUUGCAAAUAAUUAGAAGUUCAUGUUAUGAUCUGAUAAGUGUUUGUUUUAGGACACUAAGCUUGUCCUUGGGAAACCAUCAAGUUAUGUUGGUGAAGUGGUUUCCCCUCCAACACCUACCUAUAUCAAGAUCAACUCAACGAGAUCUGCAAUAUUUAUUAUAGACAUAUGCAUCGACAACCGCCCUUUUAAAGUUUUUAUAAAUGAAGAGGAAGAGGGGGUUGGAGAUCUCAAAUGUGGUAAGGAUGGAGAGACAAAUUGAUUGGAGAGAUGUUUUAUAUGAGCAAGGACUGGGUGUGGUAUUUAUGAAAUAACUUCCAUGCUCACAGUUGUUUCUCUCAAACUCCAAGGAUGAUUCUUCAUGAAUGCUUAAAAUUCCUCUAGGAUUGUCUCUCAAGUUUGUUUUAUCUAUCCAUUCAAUGGUGAUAGCACAUGGAUUUUUAAUGCCCUCUAGCCAUUGAUGUUGCUCUUCUCGAUCCUCCUUCUUAUGCAUGGGAUGUCUAGAGAGAUUCAUAGGAUUAUCGGGAAGAGAAAAAGCAUAGUAGAAAUUAUUAAGCUCAAGGAUGGGUUGGAUAGCCGAAUUAUGGGAUUGAAAUGUUUGGAAAUCGGCUAUUAAAACUUCCUCUCCUUGUAUGGGAGAUGAUUCCUUCUCUAUCUCUAAGAUUUUUCUAUGAAGACUAGUGCAAGAAGGAUGUCUACGAAUGAAGACAUACCUUCCUUUACUAAUAGAUAAAGAAAGAAAGACUCUACCAAAGGUUAUAUGAUUAAGACCAAUGUGAAAAUAUCUAGGAAAAACAUGGUCUUGUAGGGCUAGGUCUAAACCAGAAUUUAUAGAAAGAUUAAAAGAUUCCCUAGGUGUAGCUAAAAGUGCAUUAUCUUUUUGAUUAAAAGAUAGGACCUCAGCUAUAGAAAAGGGUUGGUUUUGACCCAUUGUAAUCAACUCCGGACACAGAUCAUAAUUAGGGGCACGACGUGUUGACUCCCAUGGUCUAUGGCUGGUCUCCGAAGGUGCAAAGAAUUUAAUAAUAGGUAUGGAAUUUGAGUUAUCCAUAAAGAUAAAAAUAAAAAGAUAAAAGAAUAAAAGUAUAAAAGUAUAAUACAAGAUAAUAGCAAGACUCAAAGUUAUCUCAGCAAACCGUCUUUCUCCCCGGCAACGGCGCUAGAAAUGCUAGUUGAUAUUUGGUAACGCAAUAAGGAAACGAUCCGCAAGCGCACGGAUAUCGGUGAGCAUUUCACCCGGGAGGUUAUCCAGAGUUAUCGUAUUUAUAUUUUUACCACUGGGAGAAAGGGUGCAUCUGACUAACCAAAUCUAUUGCUACUAUCCUUUUAGGCUACAAAGAAUGUCUCUCGAUGUGAGUGAUAAAUAGAGAAGACUGCAACCGUAGUCUCCUUCUAACCUUGGUAAGGACGAUCUACUGUUCUAAUGGGGAGGCUAACGGAAUCUAGACACCACAAAGGAUGUUCAACCCACACCUAUAAACCCUAUCCUUCCUGCUAACGAGAUGUGAUCUGCAAAGGUAACUCGGAAUUGUCACGUUCCUCACUACUACCACGGUCCAGCUAGUCAGGGAAUAUCUAUGAGUACCCCAGACUAAACACCACGUUUACGCCAGCAAUGAUUACUCUAAACUCUACGCGAAGAGAUUAAAGUAAACUCAUAAACCAUAAGAACAAUAAAACAAGAACUUACUAGAAUUUAGAAGUCGAAAUACUGAAGAAUCCUAGGAGCAAGCUUCGGGUUAGGAGAACUUGAUCCCGCAGGUACAAGCUUGGAGUAGACACCGACAGGCCGGGCUUCCUCCAAUCUACACCUCCACUCUAUCUCUCUCAAUCUAGUAGAAACUAGAAGAUCUAUUUCUACUUUACAUUGGUUGCUAAGCCUAAAAAGAAAUAUUAAUUAGAGAAGAGGUUUUCCUUCGAGGGCACCCUUCAAUCUCUAUGAUAAUUUCUUGUUCUCCUCCAGGGGCCUGGGGCCUUUCUUAUAUAGUCCUCCUCCUCUGUGCGUUUUUUGUUCAGCAGGCGAUGUGGUACUAAACUUUGCACCCUAUCUCAUUAAAAUGCACAUAGGCCUUAAUGGACCAAAAUCUGAUUUGGGCCCAAUUAAUCCUGCAGCUCUUUUAUGUGGAGUCCUUCUUUUCUUAAUAUCUCUUGAUUCCGAACUCCAAAUAUAGCAAAUAAUAUAUGCAUUUCGAUCAGCUCGACGAGAUCUUUGCAAUGGUGGACUCCAUUCUGUGAUUGGUGGAAACACCUGGGCGGGCGCCCAAGGGGGGUGGGCGGGAGCCCUGCCCCCGGGCCCGUUUGCCUUCUCGUUCGUUCGCGUGGCUUCUGGAGUCUUCUAGAUGAUAGAAAAUUGUGCGGUGCGUUGAUAUCUCUAUGUAAUCCCGACAUGUGGGCCUUUCUUUCAUAUUUCCUGAUAACCCCCUGCAGAAAUAGACAAACUCCAAAACUCGUGGAAUUCUGUCAGAUAAAACCCUAAGUAUAGAUGUUGAUUUCAUUUGGAUCCUUUUCUUUGUUUAUUUGAUAAUUAAAUUUGAUACUUAAGGACCGUCAACAGUGGUCAUAUCGGAUGGCGUGUCAUGGUUCGACCAAAGUGUCACCUUAUCAACUGGUGUAUGGACAUGAUGCAGUACUGCCUUGAGAAAUUAAAACUGGUUCUAGGUGAAUAUUUUCUCAGGAUCAGUUAACUGCUGAUGACUAUGCUACUUUGAUGAAAGAUGAGUUGGAUGAUUUAGCAGAGCAUUGGUUAAGAGCUUUAAUUAGUAUAGAGGAGAAUAAAAAGAGAGUGGCUAAAUGGUAUGAUAAAAAGGUAAAGGUCAAGGAGUUUGCCGAUGGGGAUUUGGUUUGGAAAUCAAUUCUACCGAUUGGGACUAAAAGUUCAAAAUUUAGAAAAUGGUCUCCCAAUUGGGAGGGUCCUUAUCGGAUAAGUCGAUCUGCCCCUGGCAGUGCUUAUAUUUUAGAAACUCUCGAAGGAGUUGAAUUUCCUAGAGCAUUGAAUGGAAAAAAUUUAAAGAGAUACUACCCUAGUAUCUGGAUUGAUGCAUAAAAGUUUAAUUGCCGAUAACAAUCCUAUCGACUGGGCAAAAUAUCAAGUGUAUCUGGGGCCAUGCAUAAAGAGUUUAAGUGUUGAUAACAAUCCUAUCGGCUGGACCAAAAGACUAAAGUUUUUGAGAAAGAAGUCAAACAAGCCGCCGAUGAAGAGUUUAUAGGUUCAGCAAGGUUUGGAUGGCCGAUAUUGCGCGUAGACAAAUCUGGUCGGCCUCCUCUAUCUCUCAGGUGUCUUCAUCGGCAGAGCCUUCCACUGGCUUUAGCUUUUUCUUCAUUUGCAGUGCCUUGCGAGCUUGGACAUCUCUUUCUUGCUGAAGAGUCUUGAGUGCAUCGGGCAGUUGGUUUUCUUCCUGUUGAGCUUGAGUCAGAGCUUCCUCCACUUCCUAAAGUUCAACCAGCAGGGUUUCUCUUUUUGCCAAUAGACUGGAAAUCUUCUGUUUUAGUUCAUCCCCUGAGGAUUGCAAAGUGCUGAUGCUCUUGUGUUUCUCAUCGGCAGCAUGCUUUACUUGUAGCAUCUCCUCUUUGAGUUGGGCGUAUGUGGCUCUAUCGGCAAGGCGCUGAGUAGCCUUCUAAUACUAGAGUUUGCGGCUUUCUAGGUGGGCAGCUUGAAAAAGAACCUCCUCAACAUCGGCUGGAAUCUGACCAUGGAGGGUCUUGAAUAUGGCUUUGGCUGGAUCAAAAUCAUCUACUAGUUGGGCUGUGUCUUGGUGCAAUAGAGCUAGUAAAUCUUCCAGCUUGGACUUGAUUUCAGCCGAUGUGAUUCCGAGCGCCUUUGAGGAGCUUGCCUCUUCACCUUUGUCAUUAGAGAUGUCGAUAGCAAAGGAGAACAAGCUAUCGGGAGAAUCUUGCUCCUGGAAAAAGAAGAAGAUAUGUUACCCAAAGUUAAGUAUCGACGAUGCAAAAUUUAAUAAAUCGGAUGACUUACUUAUUUCAAGGCGAUUUCUUGUCUCUGACGGGGGGAUGCAGCGUGCAUUAUAAUUUGAUCGGCGGGAGCUACCGAUGGAAUAUCUUCAACUGGAAAUUACCAAGGGUGAUGAUAGUAUUUAUGAAGAAAGUCAUGGGUAACGAUUCUAUGAUCGAUACUUUACCUUGGAGAGGAAUAGCGAUUGUCUGCUCAGGGGGCACAGCCGAUGAUGUGUCCAGAUCGAUUGGGUCAGUGAUCUCUUCACAUACAUCGGUUGGGCCUGCUUGCGUCUAGGGUACCGAUUGAGGAGGAGAAGGUACUUCUUGCGUCUAAGGCACUGGAUGAACUAGAGAAGAAGGUGUUGCUCGAAUCGGGGAUGCUGGACCAGGUGGAGAGGAUGGUGAUGUCUUCUGUCGCUUUGGUUGGGUCUUGGUACUUUUUGGACCCUUUCUCUUAGGUGGAGCCUGACUGGGCUGGGGGGCAUUGGCACCCGAUGAUCUGGUGCUUGUUGUCUUUGCCGAUGCACCAGUUUGUUGUCACAAAAAUUAAAAUUCUGCGGGUUAGAUAUAAAAGCAGGAAAAUAUUGUUGAAAUUUGAAAAGGCAGAAUGUUUAGUGCAAGACAUAGUUACCGAUGAUGUCCCAGUCGCAGCCAAUGUACCCUGAAAGGAUGAUGAACGUAUGGGAUGAAAUCAGUAUGAUGAGGAAAAUUAAGAAUUUACCUUAAAAGCUUGUGCCAGAGUAGCAGCAGCUACCGAUGGAGAAACUUUCGACCGUUUGGUGGUCGUCUUCUUGAAGCAGAUAUUCCAAUGCAUCAGGGCUGUUAAGCUUGCCGCGUUGUGGCCGAUCAGAGAGAUUGGGCCUGAUGGGAGAAGAUCAAUCGGCCUCCCACUUUUGCUUACUGUCGGCGCUGGGUCAUCAACCUGUUGAAAUGAAAAAGGGUAAGUUACCGAUAGAGUUAAAGUCAACAAAAGAAUUGAAGUAUCGGAAAGGAACUUACAACGUCAUCGGGGACUUUAUAUUCGGGGUCGAUCAUGUUGUGAUACAUGUGAGCCGAUACCUUGAACAGAUGCUCCUUCCAUUCCUCCCACCACCGUUUGUAUGACUGAGUCAUAAAGAGAGCUGGAACCCAAGCUGAUAGAUCAAUGUCUGACGUAUCGGCAUCUGGCUAUAGCUGGGCUAUUCUGAUCCACUCAAGACCGCUGGUUACUACCUCCCUCGGUUUUACCACAUCGGCAUAACAAAGCUUGAUCGGUAGCUGACCAAAAGCCAACUGACGAGCUAAUGCCGAUGGGUUGUAGAAAUCAUAGGUUGUGUUGGUGUUCUUUCCGCUGCCAAAGCUAUUUACUGGGAUUUCUCUUGGGGUGAUGAUUGCCAUCAUCAUAUCAUUAUCUUUAUUAAGUGCAUCAUCGGCGAAGUGGAAAGUGAGUGGAAAUCUAGAUUUUGGAUCUUCAUAAGGCAUCCAAGCUCGCUGAUCUUUGGAGAGGCCGUCAUACAAUAUUUGAAAAAUCGGCCGACUUGGUUCUCGUUUGUACCGGUACCAGGAAGGACUAUGACAGCUUCACUGUAAUUGAGGGGCGAGUGUGUUGCCGAUUCAUCAUCUGGCAGUUCAUGAUCCUCAGCAAUGUCUCGUGGGAACUGCUGUGCGAAGUAAUCGAACCGAAGGCAUUUGUGCGUAUGGACGUUAAGCCACAUGUUAAUAAACCACCAAGGACCUCCCAGGUUGCCGAUGGGUUCACCUAGCAGAAGUUUCUCGGCAACUUGGUGGAGGAGGUGAUAGACAGAACCCAGCAAAUAUCGGUCAAGGGGGAAUCAGUUACCAUCAGCUAGUCUUUCUGCUGCCGAUAAGUAAACAGAGGUUGUCCCUACCGAUCGGCCGUAGAAAAUGAAUAUUUCUAACCUCAUAUUCAGAAAGAUGGCAUGCUCUCUCUGACCAACCGAUCCUAUUCGCUGGUAUUUCUGGAUAUAUCCUGACCAACCGCCGAUGUUGCGGGUUUCUACAUUAUGUUUGGCUUUGUGGCCGAAUAACUGGCCAUCAUCGGCAGUUGCGAUGUCCAAACCGGUAAGCAUAACAACAUUAGCAAGUGUAGGGGAAGCUAGGCUGUGAACAAAGAUGAAGGCAUUAAAAGCAUGUGACAAAAAGUAUGAGGUAGCUAUCAACAUUGAUUCAUUUCUUUCCAUAUCGGCAAUGGAAAGUCUGAUACAUUGGUCUAUUUUACGUUCACCCUAGUAUACUUCAUUCGUUUUGCUUACUCUUAGAAACCAGUCUUUCCAUCCUUUGGUGGGGUUUGGCCAGGAUCGGAAAGUGUCCUUUCAUAGAUCUAGAGAAAAAUUCUCGGCUCUAAAAGGAAUCCUAUUGGUUUCUACAUUGAUCAGAUCGGUGGGAUCUGGAUCACCCAUAGGACCAAGACAUUUGAGGUGGGGUUGUUUAGUAGGUAUGAUGAUUUUCUUGCUCAAAUCCUAAAGUUUGAAGAUCGAAAGAAUAGAAAGAAAAGGGGGAGAAAAUGCUAAGUAAGUAAACUUGCAAAAAGGUAAAGGAUUACAAUAAAAGAAAAAGAGGAUGGGAAUGGAUUAACCCCAGGCACGGUGAAGUUGACGGCCAUUUCUUCCGGAAGAAGGAGAAAGUUAAAGACUUGAAGAUUCUAGGGGAGGUUCUUUGCUGCUAGAGCUCUCGGUUUCUUUGUCAAUGCUACCGCCAGGAGAUGAGGUUGGCAAUGGAAGAUGGCAAGGUGGAGAAAGAGUGCUGAGGAAGGGAGUAUUUAUAGGUUGAAGUGAGCAGAGGUAUUUUUGACUUAUCUCUUUGCCGUAUCCGUGAAAUUCGAGGGUGUUCGGGUAGAUAUGGUAACUGUUGGCACGAUAAUCAAGGGAUUGUACAUGUGAUUUUACAGCAAGUAAUCAUGAUUUUAGGAGAUAUCCCACUGUGCACGAUCUUUUGGUCGGCCCAUCGGCUGUCAACUCUAACAGAAUAGUUGCCGAUGAGCGUAUUCCUAUAAGAUUUGGUUGAGGUGGUUGAGAGAUUCGAGGUAUUUAAUGGAGAGCAGAAUUAAGGUUGUUUGGAUUUGGUAAUUAAUUGUUACCAGAAGGAAAUAAUUGUGAAAAGGUCAUCAUUAUCGGAGAGAAUUUUGGAGCAUUAAUGAUUUCAUAUUCCGAAAUUGGGGGGCAUGUGUUGACAUCAUUUUUGGACAAGAAUCGGGGUAAUCAGUAAGGCUUGGAUCGACAGUCAGAAAGGUGAUGUGUCUGGCCGAUAAGGAGAUUGCCGAUAGCCUAUGAUACCGAUGACAAGGCAACCGGAGGAAGAUGUGGCUAUGUCUGGUGAUGGUUGUUGAUCAGUGCCACUGUCUGAUGUUGAUGAUUGCCGAUGCCAAUGAAGGAGAAUAUGCCGAUGAUGGAGGAGGAAGACAUGGGGGUCGCUGGGAGGACAAUGGUGGUGUGCCGAUCACCCAAAAUAGAUAGGUUGCUACUUUCCAUAAUUGUUAGAGUUUAUUUUAUAUACGAGUUCUGUUUGGUUUGGAAUUCAAAUCUUAGUUGUAUACGGUUGUAACUCUUUAGGACAGAGUAUAAAUAUAGGCCUAGUGAAAGGUCAUUGUUUGGUUUUGGUAAUUGAGUGACAACUUAGGUGGACUAAUAGUGUUUAUGUGAGAUACACAGGAGAUUAGUCCACAGGUGAUGAUGUGAUGAUGGAGGAGCUCAUUGCAUAUGAGACAUGACAUGGAGUCAUGUGACCAAGGUGGAGAAGAUCAAGAUGAGGCUUGGCUCGAUGGACCGGUUGCAAGAGUGAAGGGCAAGUCGGAGGCUUUGAAGCGAGGGACCGCGUGUGACGGUGAAGCUUGAGCAAGACUUGGCGCCGAUGGACCGAGGCAACGGUGAAGAGCAAGUGAGGUAAAGAUCGAUGAACCAAUACGGUCAUGUGAUGAUAUGAAGUGGAUCAUAUCAUUUGGUGAUUGGUUGGUGCAUGUGUUGCAUCAACAUUGGAGGAGAUUGAAUGGAAUGUGCAAGGCAAAGGUAUAACCUACACUACACCACAACACCAAUACAGCAUCAGACAACUGACGGUAAAAGUGUAUAUUUACCCAUGGGAACUCUGACGGUACAAGUAUGUGACAAACCAUCUGUCGGUAACGGUAACUGAGUGGGUUUCUGUUCAUCAGUCAAAGCCAAGAGAUUUCUAUGACAUGGAUAAUUUGGAGAGUGAGCACUUAGAUAAUGGCAAUGGACUAGUUGUGCCAUUGCCUGAUCUAAAUGCCAAUGUGACUGUCGAUGUUAUUAACCGGUCUAUCCCUCUUGUUAGAACAGAAAUAGAUGGUAUAAUUGUUCCAAAAAAAUCAAUAAAAAAUUCUAAGAAGUAAGUGUCCUUUGCAUAAUUUGGUUGCUGCCGAUUUCUUGGAAGUAUUUCCCUUUUUGUAUUAUUUCUUACAAAAAACAAAGUGUGCUUACUUUUUGUACUUUUUAGGAGGAAAAAAUGCCCCUAAGAAGGAAGAAUAUGGAUGGCCUCGUUAAUGAUUAUGAGCUGCAGCAGCAAGCACAGAUUGCAAGAAACAAGAAGCACCUAGACUCUUUGAAGAUUCCUACCCUGAGCAAUGUGGUGCAGCCACCACCAGCUAAGAAAAGAAUAAAGGUCAGCCUAGUCAUCCUAAUCUCCUGCGAGCACCAUGAUUAAUCAGAAGCAUGUUUUUUUGAAACACUAAUGGCUGCUAUUGCUAUCUGUUGUAGAAAACUUAUCCUGCACCCACCGAGGAUCGUAACCUGCGACCAAGGCCACAAAAAAAUACUGUUGAUACUGUAUAUGAGCAGAUUGUUGAUGCUCCUGACUAUAUACCAACUGGAGACUUCUUAUGUGACAAUGAAGGUAAAUAUUUAGCACUGCAGUACUGCUGUUUUCCAAAAGUAAAACUUGCUACACGUGUUGUUCCAUGUGCUUGAUGCUAUAGUAAACUUAAGCUUUUUGUAGAAGCAUAAGUAUUAUAUUAGGUUAUGUUUCUCACAUUCCAAAUUAAUUUCUACAGAUUUGCUUAGUGGUACGCAAGAGAAGAGGAAUGGAAGAGGCAUCACACAGAUGAAUGACAUUUUUGCAAGGACUGCCGACAUGCCUAAAAUCAAAGUAACACUAAAUGAAUAUGGACAGCCCGUUGGAGAAACUGCUAGGAAGCUUGCUAGUGUCAUUGGGUGUCAAGUGAGAAAGAAAUUAUCAGUUGGUUGUAAGGAUUGGAGGCUUGUUGAUCCAAAAAAGAAGUUAGCAGUUUGGAAUGACAUAAAGGUAGAACUAUUGUGCCUUUCUCAACUGAGCCAAAUACAACAUGAUUUGUAUGUUUAUUUCUGUGCACAUGAACUGUUAAUUUGUAACUCAUUUUAAAUUCUUGUACUUAUGGAAAUUGCUUUGUUUAUUUCUUUCUUUGUUUUUGUGCACAUGAUCUGUACAAAAUGCAACAUUGACCCAUGUUACCCUACAAAUUAGGAAUUUGAUGACAUGGAUGAGGAUGCCAUGAAAUGGUUCAUGGAUACAGCUGCAAGAAAAUGGAAGGAUUACAAGGCAGACUUAAAACAGAAGUUUUUUGAUGAAUCAAUGACGGAUGAUGAACUCAAGGCAAGAGUUGGUAAUAGAGUAAAUGCUGCUGACUGGGAUUACCUUGCUCGGUUUUGGAGGACUCCUGAAUCUGAUGUAAGUACCAAAUUAUAUGAAUAUGUUUUUAGAAAUCUUGGGGGACUCCUGAAUCUAAAGUAAGUACCAAAUGCUUUCAAUCUUAGGCUCGUACAGCAAGAGGAAAGGCAAAUCGUGCCAAGUUGCAGCAGCUUCAUACAUCAGGCAGUGUGAGCCAUGCUUGUCGUAGGCACGAUCUGGUAGAUAAACCUAUCACUCACAUUACUAAUUCAAAAUACAUUGUUUGGAGGAAUUUUGAUUGCUUCAAAAGUUUGGAAAAAAACCUGUAGGGUCAAGAACUUGGUCGCACCCCUCGAAGAGAUGAAGUUUACAUCAAAACUCAUACAAGGAAAAAUGGAGUACCUUUAAUGCAGGCAUCGUCAACAAUUGUAAGUUUCCUCCAGAAAAGUAAUUGCAACAUUUAUAUAUAAACAUACUUAUUCCUUUUUUAUAGAAUGAACUUAAAGCAGUUGUUGAAGCUCGUCCAGAGUUGAAGGACAAAUCAAUUCAAGAAGGAGAUGUAUAUGUUGCCGUUUGUGGAGAAAAGGAACCAAAAGGUCGUGUUCGUGUCUUGGGUUUAGGACCAACACCCCAAGAGAUUCGCACCCCAGGGUUGAAGUCAUACAUGUCAACAAGGCUUCAACUAGAAGUCUUGGCUCGUAAAAACUCUGAAAGUGUACAAGCAACCUUGGAACAACGCAUUGCUGCACUGGAAGAGGAACUGGAAGAGCAAAGGAUGGCACAUAAAAGGCAAAGUGCUGAAAAUUUGUCACAAAAUGGUUCUAAUUCAAGACAUCACAUGGUAAAGUACUUUCUACAUCUUUGUGUCUUAUACAAUGUCUUAUGGCUCCAUACUCAAAAUAUAUCUUCAUACUCUUGAUAUGUAUUAUUUCAAUGCAUGAUGUAGAGCCCAAGGUGUGAAGAACAUGUUGAUGCACAUUAUGUUGCUCAGUGUGAAGAAUAUGACAAUAUUGCAAAUAAUGAGGAUUGUGACAUUGAAGGCCCACCAGUGUCUGCUGGCAUGAACGCUAUAAACACAGCAAGAAAUGAAAAUGCCUCUCGCUUUACACAUGAUGGGCUUGUAAUGUUCUCCAUCCUCUUGUUAAGUUUAUGUUUGUGAUUUAAUAUUUGUUCCUCAGAUUCGUGUAAUUCUCAUGUAUGUGUCAUCUACUUCAGGUUGGAAAGGAAGCGAUACUUUUUGCUAUGUUGAGGCCUGAUCAACCUGUAGCUAAGGGAACUGUCCUUUCUAUUAAUCCGAGGACCAUCGUAGGAGGUGAGCCUCUUGGAAAACAGUUUUGUGAAGUUACAGUGGAACAUGUGAUAAGAAGGGAUGCACUUUUGCCUAGCCCAUAUGAUCAUAUGGAGAGUAUGGCUGGGGCUUAUAUGAUGUCAAUUGCGUGGCCGUACGAGUGAGUAAGAAAUUACACCUAAUGUUAUUUCUUUUUGGCUUUUGAUGAGUGUCUAGUGUUCCUAAUUGAUUCACUCUGUAUAGCUAAAGCCUUGCAACAAUUCAUCUGGAUCUUCCAAGGUUACACCAGGCAUUUUGAGCCCCUUUCUGAUUCUUCAUUUGAGUUGUACAUAUGUCUGCUUGCUGCUGCUAUUUUAGCAGCCACAUCUCGAAUAAUAUAUAGGUAGUACAUAUAGUUGUACAUAUGUUGCUGCAACAUAUAGCUGAAUAUAUGAUGUUGUUGCUGCUAGCCACAUCUGGAAUGGUAUAUUGUGCGCUGUACAUAAGCUGAAGGUUUUCUAUAAAAUGUUAUAUGAGAUUGCAAAUAGAUGUACAUAUGCUGUUAUUUUCUAAGAUAUGUUGCUGAUGAGAGUGCAAAUAGUUGUACAUAUUUUUAGUUCAAAUUGCAAAUAGCUGUACAUAUUUUAGCAUAUGCUGCUAUUUUAUGAAAAAAAUAGCUGAGAUUGAGAUGCUAGCAAUUUUUGAAGAGCACAAGCCAGUAUUGCCAACAUGCCUAAAAGUAUUAGCAAAUUUCAUUGCAUUGCCAUCUGAGAUUGCAAAUAGCUCAGACAUAGACCUACAGUUCCUGAUUAGUGUACUACUAUACUUUCAAUCAAUUUAGGUUGGGAGAUCCCCUGCAGUUCUUCUAGUUAUUAAUGAUCAAAUUGAUGUUAAUUUAUUUUUCAGGUAGCAUUGGGCGCCACUAGCUGCUUACAAGUGAAUGGGAUGCCAAAUUUUGCGCAACUACUGCAUUUGGAUCCAAGUAUUUCUUUUGUUUUAUGAGCUUUUGGAACAACUUUACUCGUUGGGAGGUCAAGCACCUGUUGUUGGGUCCAUACAUCUCUUUUUGGUUGCUAUGUCUAUCAAAGUGAUUGUUUACUGCAAACAAUCUAGUAUAGCUCCCAUUUAUGUUCUAUGACUUGGUGUAAAUUGGAUAUGCUGCCAUGUAUGUACUUGUGCUUAAUUUAUGACUUGGUGCAAAUGUCCAAGACAACUAUAUGCAUGUCAUAUGGAGAUCCAUGUAUUUGGGGACUAAAUCUAUGGAGAUGAAGGUGAUAUGAUGGAUCUUUGAUUAGUCAAAUGCAUAUUUAGUAUGUUAUGAUUCUGCUACGCUGUAUUUUAUUUUUUUUAUUUAGUUUUAAACUUUCUGUUGGACAAUCUGUCGGUAAAUAUAUUUAUAACAUCGCACGGUGUGCCGGCAUAACUGGUAACACACUGUCUGUCGGUGAUUUUCUCUCCAUCGGACUAUCUGUCGGUGAUUUUCUCUCCGUCAGACUGUCUGUCGUUGAAAGGGUAGUCUGUCGGUAAAACUUUUUACCGACAGGGCUUAUAGCGACUAACUUGAUCUGACGGUAUAUCUCUACAUCGAUGGCCUGUCUGACGGUAAAACGUCUUAUACCGACGGACCGUCCAACGUUGUUCUGAGGUUGUGGUGUAGUGCUAGGGCAUUUUCAUUUCACCAGACAUGGUGUGUAGAGAAGUUUAUGACCGGAUUUAGGAUAGAUGGAUGUACUAUCAAGAGGGGCAAACUUGUUUGCAUAUCGGUCAUCUAAGUGCCACUUGAGCGAUCUAACUUUGUAUACGUGUUAGGAUCGAAUGGCGUGGCUAGUUGAGAGGCUAACUCCUUUGGGAAACUGUUUGUGAAAAUGCUAACACACUUGCACUUGGUGAUCUACACUUGGUGGUGUUGGCACAUUUGCAAAGGAGGUGGAGUUCCUACGGUUGAGAGGGGUGUGCAUUCAGCGCUUUUGAGAAAUUUAGGUGCAUAUUUUCUAUUGCGCCGGUGGGAAAUUUGGAGAAGUCACGGGAGUGUUUUCUCACUGAGAAACAAUCACCGGACGCUGAGUGCGGAGGCACCAGACGCUUGCCUCAAAGUCUGGUGUGCUUAACCCGGCUAGGGUUGAGCACCGGACGCGCUCUGAGAGCAUCCGGUGGUUAGCGUCCGGUGUGAGGGAGUUUUGCAACCCUCCCUGUGUUUGAGUCCGGUGAGCACCGGACGUUGAGGGUGCGUCCGGUGGCUCACGUCCGUUGACCUUGCGAGUUUGCAGAGCUCUCUGCGCACGGGUCCGGUGUGCACCGGACGCGUCCGAUGUGACACAUUAGAGCGUCCGGUAGUGCUGUGCAGGCGCACGUGUGCAGUAGCCGUUGGCAGUAACGGUCGAGUUCAAACGGCUAGUGACACGUGGCUGACGCCUGAGCACCGGACGCUAGGAGUUGAGCGUCCCGUGGCUCCCUGUAAGCGUCCGGUGCCCUCGUGUUUUGCCCAGUGAAGGGGCAACGGCCAGUUUAGCCCUUGGGGCUAUAAAUAGAAGUGGUGGCCGGCCUCGGCUGGUGCUGAGCACCCUUGGGACUUAGUGUCCAUGCUAGGGGAUUGCUAGUAAAGCCUCUAACUCACAUAUACUUGAUAGUGAUCAUCUGUUUGUGUGAGUGAGCGAUUCUAGUGCGUUGCAUUGAGAGAUUGCAUCGAGUGGCACUAGGUGUUCAUGUUGCAAGCCGGUGGUGCUUGUUACUCUUGGAGGUUGCCACCUCCUAGACGGCUUGGUGGCUUGUGACUCCGUCGAAGCAUGCAAGGAGAUUGUGUGGUGCUUCGGAGAAGAGAUUGUGAGGGGUACGGUGCUCACCCCGCGGGGAUCGUGAAGAGCAACUCUAGUUGAGCGAGACGUGAAGAGCGACAAGUGGUCCAGCCGGGUCAAGUGCUAGAUCUUGUGGUAAGCACUCCACGUAGGAGAGUGUGACUUGUGGGUCACCACUAGUAAGAGGACCGGCGGCAACCUUGGAGCUUGUCUCAACGAGGACGUAGCUUGGUGGCAACCAAGUGAACCUCGGGAGAAAAUCAGCGUGUCAACAUUGUUCUUCCCGUUGGUUUGCAAGUCCCUAACCCAAGCUUGUUCUUACAUUCUUAUACUUGUGCUUGUGUAGUUGCUCUUGUAAUUAGUUAGCUUGUGUAGCUUUCUAGUUACCUUCUUGCUUGUGUCACUAGUAGCAGUUCUCUUGCGUGACUAAUUUGGUUUGUGUAACCUUGUAGUCACAUUACUUAGUUUGUGUAGCUAAGUAAAUUGCGCUCUCUAAUUUGGCAUUAGUUGCCUUGUUAUUGAGCUUGCUAGUGAGCUUAGGCUUUGUGCGCUUUGCCUCACAAGUUUGUGUAGGAGCUCCCCCGGUUUGCAAAGUACUAGUUGUAUAGGUUUGUGUGACCUUGCUUCUAGAUUUGGUUAGGUGAGCUCUUGCUAAGGUAGCACCUUGCUUGCUUGUUUAGGAUCUUUUCAAGGUGCUAGAGAACUUAGUUAGAGGGGCGUAGUCUUGGCUAGACCAAUAGUUUUAAUUCCGCAUUUGUUUUCGGUUAGUCGGCGUAAUAAAUUUUAGAAAGGACUAUUCACCCCCCCUCUAGUCCGCCAUCUCGACCCUUCAAGUGGUAUCAAAGCGAGGUCUCUCAUUUGUGGUCUUCACCGACCCGAGAGGAUGGCGGCUUUUGGGCUAGAUGAUUGUGAGACUCACAUUUUUUAUGGUACAAACUUUGCACUUUGGAAAAAUCACAUGCUUGAUCAUUUUCGUGCAAAGGGACCUAAAUUUUGGUGGAUUGUCACUAAUGGUCUCACACAUAACUUGGACCAUAAGAAUCUCACCAAAGCUCAAAAGGUUCUCUUUGAACUUGAUUGUGAAGCUUAUUGUUAUCUAAUGAAAUCUUUGAGCUUUGAGUUGUUUGAUAGGAUAAACUCCAAAGGAACCGCAUAUGAAAUGUGGGAGUCUACCAAACACACCUUCGGAGAUUUCUCCAAAUGGGAUGAUGGCAAGUUCAAAAAGGAGGAACCAAAGGUGGACAUCCAUGAGGAUGUUGAGCAUGACCACUACAAGGUGGUUGUGGAGGAUUGCUCCACCUCAUGCUCAAGUGAAGAUGAAGAUGAUGGCUAUGAGAGUGAUGCUUCUACAAGCUCAUCCAUCUUCAUCACAUUACUCCAUGUCUCACAGUGAUGGCAAGGUAUCUAUUGGAGGUGUGCUUGUUGAUUGUGAUGAUUCAAAUUUUGAGCUUGUAUGUAGACUGACCAAAGGUUUAAGAAAUGAGAUGGCUAAAACAAGUAAAAUGAAAAAUUAAAACUCAUUUCUAAAGACCACAUGUGAACAACAAAAGCAUCUACUUUAUGUUACUACUUGUUCACAUGAGGAGCUAAAAUUGGUUCAUGAGGAACUUUGUGUUACUCAUGAUAACUUGGUAAAAGAUCAUGCUUUUCUCACUAAGAAGAUUUCAAAUGAAGAAAUUAAAACUAGUGAGAGCUCAUCACUUGGGUCAAAUGAUCAAUCACAUAUUGCUACUAACCCUUGUGAUGUAGUCAAGAAGCAUGUAUCCACCUCUCGUGAUGUUUUAUUAUCUAUGCCAUGUUCUUCACAAUUAGAUAUUUGUUCUACUUCCAUGUCUUGUGAGACUAACCUGUUGAAGGAGAACAAUGAGGUCAAAAAUGAAGUGAAGAAUUUGAGCAACAAGUUAGAGAGGUGUUACAACUCAAAAGUCACCUUUGAGCAUAUAUUGAAGACUAAAAGAGAUUAUGGUGACAAAUGUGGCCUUGGCUUCAAGAAGAAGAUGAAAAAGGGCAAAAGAAAGCAAGAGAGUGAAAAGCUCUCUCAUUUCAUGUGCUAUUGGUGCCAUGAAAUGGGUCAUCUUGCUAAUGAUUGCCCAAACAAAGAGAAGCUCAAGAAGAUAAAAGAAGAAGAGAGGCUAAAGCAUGUCAAGUGCUUCAAGUGUCGCACUUGGGGUCAUCUCACCUUAAUGUGCCCAACCAAGCAAUUGGUGAAGCAACAAGUAAAGCCUCAACCAAAGCCACAAGUUGAGCAAGAGAAGACAUCCCAAGCUCAAGUCAAGUUCAACCAUCACAGUGACUUGAUGAUGAAGAAGAAAACAAGAAGGGGUGGGAGAGCAAGGCAUCUGAUGCAAAUCCAAGAUGCCAAGAUGAUGUGCAAGAAUGUUGGACACUUUGCCUCGAAGUAUCCUACCAAGCUUGAUAAGAAGGCUCAAGCAACUUUCAAGAGGCAAGGCAAUGAGAAGGAACACAUGAGCAAGGAAGAAAAGGCUCAAUCAAAGCGAAGUUGCUACUUAUGCCGGGAAAGGAAACACAUGGCUCAUUCAUGUCCCCUAGGUAAUAAUUCUAAGCCUAUUUCAAUUGAUAACCAUAAUAUGCUUAGAAAGGAUGGUGAUGGUACCUCUAUGGUUGCUAUUGCAAAACAUCCCGCUACUCAUACUAAGGCUAUGCCUAAGUAUGUUGCUCCUAACUUGAGAGGACCCAAACUAGUUUGGGUACUAUCAAAAAGUGGAUGAUUGUUUGUAGGUACCAUCGGCAUUGGAGGCUUGAUUCAAUUAAUCUUAUAUUAUUCAUCAUAUGAUUGAGUCAAGUAUUGAAGCUUAGUGCUUAUGUUAUUCCAAUGCCAAGUCAAAUAAGUGAAGUCCAAAUGUGCUACAACAUACAAGUGUCACAUUCAAGUUGUGGUAAUUUAUUGGAUUAUUUGAUGGCUUGCAAAUACAUGAGUUGAAGCUUGCAAAUUAGAUGAUCAUGAGCUAACCAAGGUAUAUCUUUGUUGAUCACAUUCAUUUGGGUGCAUAUGAGUUGAAUGAAUUGGAUAUAUAUGCAAUGUUGCUUGCUAUAAGUUGAUUGAAUGGAUUAAAUGCUAAGUAAUCAAGUUUCGAUUGAUCUGGGUUGGAUAAGUUCAUAAGAUAACAUUUAGUAAGUGGAUUGAAUUGAUAUAUGUCUUGUGAAUGCAUUCAAUCAAGUUGAUUUCAAGUUUGAUUCAAUUUGAAGAAGUAUAGCUCAAUUGCUUGAAAUCUGUCCAAUAUUGAAAAUCUGAGCUAGCUGAGAUCAAGUCUGUGUUUCAGUGAUCAAAUCUAUUUGGAAUGGCUUGAAAUUUGGUAUGCAUGCUGUACAUUUAUCAUAGAAGAUGCUGUAAAAGUCUCAUAAAGAUUGGAUAAGGGAUACUUCGGUUUUGGAGUAGAUCUUAUCAGCUAUAGUGCAGCAGUUUUCAGCAUGUAGCAGUGGUGGAAGAAUUGAAAUCUGGUAGCAAUCUAGAAGUCACAUGAAGCUCAAAUUUUUAUAGCUGCUAGAUGACUUAGUGAAUCACAUCUCCACCAAAUUUUGUAGUUUUUGGAUAUGCACAUUGUGAGAUAUAGAUACUUCUUUAAAAGGUACAGAAUCUGCCAGACAAGUGACAAUUAUUGGAAUGAUCUAGAGUCACUUCAAUUGAAAGGUGCUCAAGUUGGAAACAUGAUCAUAAGUGUUUGAGUCACCUAAGUUCGGUUUUUGAAUUGAUCUAGAAGCAUGACAAGUAAUGAGUACAAGGUCAUUUGAUUGUGGAAUGUACUUGGUGUACACAUUUAGUACUCAAAUUGAAGGUCAAGAUCAAACUCAAGAUGAAGAUGAAGUUUAAGUUAUAGUGACUAUUGGAGAUUAUUUAGAAACAAAAAGAACUUAAACAAGUAGAAAGAAAAGGACUUAAAUAAGGGUUCACGGAUAUUCAUCAUAUUAUGUUCAUCACGUGAAUCAAUCAAUCAAAGGCAAUUCAAGUGAGUGUCAAGAAUGGUUCUUUAGAGAGAGGUCACUUCUCCCUAUGAGGGGGGCGUGCCGCCCGAGGAGUGGGUAAACCAAGUGUGGUGCUUGGAAGGCUAACAUGGAAGUGGUGAUCUAAAGGACAUUUGAGAUGCUUAGUUGAAGCAAUCAAAAGGAUUGAUCAAGAAAACAAGCAACACCUAAAGAGAGCUAGUCAUGAUGUUCAAGUGGUAUUCUUAUUAGUUCUCUCAUGCAAGCAAUGAUCAAGAAAAGAUGAAGCAAGCCAACCACAACAAGAUAGUGCACUUGAUCAUAAGUGGUUCUCCAUUCAUAUGGGUGAAGAUUUGAUCUAUCAAUUGGUAUCUAUGAUUGGUCUUCACCAAGCAUAUCAAUUGGACUUCACAUUGCUAUUGGAGAAAUGAUUUAGAAUCUAUGUGACUAUCCUCUUCUCCAACAUAGCAAAGGUAUCAUUGUACUGUGCAUGAUCAUUUCAUCCCUUACUAGUAUGCAGUUAGUGCAUAUAGUACAUGCUUAAUAGGAUCAUGCAUGACAAAUGAAAAGUUUUCAAUUCAUAACCUACCACUAUUGCUUGAAUGAUUGGUUGAUCUAGUGGUAUGUAUAUGAGUUUAUUCAUGAGCUAGUGAACCCAAGUACUUAAUCUAUUUUGGAUUGUUAACAAGUGACAAGUACAACAUUGGCAAGAUAACCCUUAAUGUAAGGUGUGAAAAAGCUUGUCAUUGGUUCAAACCGAACUUGGAUGCUUAGGCAAAUCAACAUAGUUCAAGUAAACAAUUAGAAGCUCAUGAUGAUAAGAGUACAAGAACAAGUCAACAAUGAAAUGGAUAUCUAGACUCAAAUGUUUCUUCAAGUGAUAUCCUACAAUUGGUACUCAAGAUGAUGAUAGCAAAUGUUCAAGAAAGCAAACAAGUGGCUCCAUACUACCUUCAAUUGGAAGAAGAUUUCCAUAUGGUAUCAGACAAGAUAUUUCAAAUAUCACAUUUAUACGUAUGGUAUCUAUCAUACAAGAAGGUGGUUCCAUAAGUGAUCCUCAACUUUAAGUGAUCAUCAAGCAAAGAAAAGUUCCCUCACCAACAAGAUUGACAAGUGAAUGACCCAUGCUAUGACAAAGGGGGAGUGCCCCACCAAAUGGUAUCAAGGUCAAAUAUCCUAUGAGGUAUCUCAAGAGCAAUUCAAGUAAUGUCAUUCCAACACAUAUGGUGAUGUCCAUAAAAAAUGCAAGAUUUAAGCCUCAACCAUCUAUCCCAAUGCAAUCCUUUGUCACAAUGAGAUGAACACUCUUUCAAUUGGUAUGAAGUGAUUUAAUUGGUAUCACAUACCUUUUAUGGAAAUUGAUGACAAAGGGGGAGAAGAUGGAACAUAGAUAUGAUCAUGGGAUAAGAUGGACAACAAAAGAUAUAUUUCAAGGGGGAGAGAUCAAAGAUGGACAUGGACAAGGGUGCAACAUUAAAAGAAAAGAUGAUGGAUCAAAAUUCUUGGAUACAAGUAAAGCACACAAGUAGGGGGAGCAAGCUCAUGAACAUUGAUUGUUUGCAUUUGAUUUGUGCAUAUUCAUGUGCUUGUUUGCAUUGCAUAAGUCUUUAAAUUCAAUAUGCAUGCUUGUGUGAUGUAUGCUAGUUAUAGAACUUGAUUGAUGAUAUGAUAACUAGCAUGCAUAGGUUGGUAGCUAGACUUGUGUUUUUCAAGUAAAAACUAGACCCUUGCUUAUAAUGUUGAUCUCACGGGGUUUCUAGUGUUUUUGUUGUCUAGAUACACAUGGUGCUAAGGAUGGUGUACAUUGAAUGCUUCAAAUGCUAUCGAACUUGGUAUCGAGCUACAAAGGUUUAUUCUAUACACCUUAGCACUUAGUAGGGUUUUGUGGUGCUUAUCCAAAUCUUGACAUAGAGCUUAAAUGUUGGAUAAGUAGCAUAAAAUCUGAAUCAAGUUAGCAAUUUACACUUUGUAGAGUUGUCAUCAAUUACCAAAAAGGGGGAGAUUGAAAGGUCCUUGUUUGGUUUUGGUAAUUGAGUGACAACUUAGGUGGACUAAUACUGUUUAUGUGAGAUACACAGGAGAUUAGUCCACAGGUGAUGAUGUGAUGAUGGAGGAGCUCAUUGCAUAUGAGACAUGACAUGGAGUCAUGUGACCAAGGUGGAGAAGAUCAAGAUGAGGCUUGGCUCGAUGGACCAGUUGCAAAAGUGAAGGGCAAGUCGGAGGCUUUGAAGCGAGGGACCGCGUGUGACGGUGAAGCUUGAGCAAGACUUGGCGCCGAUGGACCGAGGCAACGGUGAAGAGCAAGUGAGGUCAAGAUCGAUGAACCAAUACAGUCACGUGAUGAUAUGAAGUGGAUCAUAUCAUUUGGUGAUUGGUUGGUGCAUGUGUUGCAUCAACAUUGGAGGAGAUGGAAUGGAAUGCGCAAGGCAAAGGUAUAACCUAGGGCAUUUUCAUUUCACCGGUCAUAGGUGUGUAGAGAAGUUUAUGACCAAAUUUAGGAUAGAUGGCCGUACUAUCAAGAGGGGCAAACUCUUCUGCAUAUCGGUCAUCUAAGUGCCACUUGAGCGAUCUAACUUUGCAUACGUGUUAGGAUCGAGUGGCGUGGCAAGCUGAGAGGCUAACUCCUUUGGGAAACUGUUUGUGAAAAUGCUAACACACUUGCACUUGGUGAUGUACACUUGGUGGUGUUGGCACGUUCGCAAAGGAGGUGGAGUUCCUAGGGUUGAGAGGGGUGUGGAUUCGGCGCUUUUGAGAAAAUUAAGUGCAUAUUUUCUAUUGCGCCGGUGGGAAAUUUGGAGAAGUCGCGGGAGUGUUUUCUCACUGAAAAACACUCACCGGACGCUGAGUGCGGAGCCACCGGACGCUUGCCUUAGAGUCCGGUGUGCUUAACCCUACUAGGGUUGAGCACCGGACGCGCUCUAAGAGCGUCCGGUGGUUAGCGUCCGGUGUGAGGGCGUUUUGCAACCGUCCCUGUGUUUGAGUCUGGUGAGCACCGGACGCUGAGGGUGCGUCCAGUGCCUCACGUCUGGUGACCUUGCGAGUUUGCAGAGCUCUCUGCGCAUGGGUCCAGUGUGCACCGGACGCAUCCGGUGUGACGCAGUAGAGCGUCCGGUGGUGCUGUGCAGGCGCGCGUGCGCAGUAGCUGUUGGCAGUAAUGGUCGAGUUCAAACGGCUAGUGACACGUGGCUGACGCCUGAGCACCAGACGCUAGGAGUUGAGCGUCCGGUGGCUCCCUGUAAGCGUCUGGUGCCCACCUGUUUUGCCUAGUGAAGGGGCAACGGCUAGUUUAGCCCUUGGGCUAUAAAUAGAAGUGGUAGCCGGCCUUGGCUGGUGCUGAGCACCCUUGGGACUUAGUGUCCAUGCGUGGGGAGUGCUAGUAAAGCCUCUAACUCACAUAUACUUGAUAGUGAACAUCCGAUUGUGUGAGUGAGCGAUUCUAGUGCGUUGCAUUGUGAGAUUGCAUCGAGUGGCACUAGGUAUUCGUGUUGCAAGCCGGUGGUGCUUCUUACUCUUGCAGGUUGCCACCUCCUAUAUGGCUUGGUGGCUUGUGACUCCGUCGAAGCACGCAAGGAGAUUGUGUGGUGCUCCGGUGAAGAGAUUGUGAGGGGUACGGUGCUCACCCCGCGGGGAUCGCGAAGAGCAACUCUAGUUGAGCGAGUCAUGAAGAGCGACAAGUGGUCCGGCCGGGUCAAGUGCUAGAGCUUGUGGUAAGCACUCCACGUGGGAGAGUGUGACUUGCGGGUCACCACUAGCAAGAGGACCGGCGGCAACUGUUGGGCAUUCUUAACGUCACUACCAAAAGUAGACUUAGUUUUCUAAUUCUGAUAACGGCGCCAAAAAUGCCAAACCUAUCCCUCAUAUCACUUAAGCCAAGUUGUCAUCCCCAGCAUGACAUGAGAGACGCGGUAUUGAAAUAUGCAAUUGCUCUUCUAAAUAAAUAACAAAUGAGAUCUGCAAGCGCACAGAUUAAUACCGAUGUAGCAUUUUAACCGGGAAGUAUUCCAGGUAUCGUUAUUUAUAUUUUUACCAUUGGGAAGGGAUUAGUAAUCAUCAGUGUUGAUUAUAGAAUGGAAUAUAGAAUUGAGUAUCUAUCAUUGCAUGUAUAAUUGAGAACAUUUAUCUAUCUCCUUCAUGCAGGGAUAAGUGUCACAUAAAGGAUAUAUAUAAAGUAAUGAAUAGUGACAAAGAUAAUUAAUCUGAUCAGCAUAACUUAGCCUAUAUAAAUAUGAUAAGCACCUCAAUUAGAUAUUCUAGCAAGUCAUUAGCAUGGAACUAGGACGAACUACAAGAAUAUUUCCUAAGUUAUUCUUAACUAUAUAGUCUAGCAUAUCAUAGUUAGUGCAAUUAUACUUAGCAAUCAUUGUGAGACAAGACUACGCCCAUGCAUAGUGAUAGCUGUCACUACCACGAACUACCCCACGAUCUGGCAUAUAGGGUACAAUCGCAGAUAAAUACGGUAUAAGCACCACGCCUACACAAUAUCUAUCAUUUACCCAUGGAUCCGAUGGAUAAACGCUAUACAAUCCUAAACAUGUAUAUAAUUCCAAUCUAACUAAGCCAAGUAUAUAACUAUGAUAAACUAAGAACAAUAUAAUUGCGAAUAUAAACAAGUAGAGCAAAGUCAUAACCAAUAUAUUGAAGUAGAACAAAGUCAUAUUCAUAAUAUCGAAGAACAAAGAUGAACAAUUGAAGAACAAUAGAGAAUUACCAAGAAUCCUCUUGAGAGAUCCGGAAACCAAUCGAACAUUUACUCCUUCUAAUUCUAAUCCUAUGUAGCUAUGCUAAUCUAGAGAUCUAAUUGAUGUGGUGGCUCUAGGCUCGAUCAGAGGCUUCUUCUCCCUGAUGAAUAAUGAAUUAGGGUUGAGAGGUGCUCUCCUCCAGGGGCCAGGGGUCUGGUUUUAUAGUCCUUCCAAGUGAAUAUGGGCCGUCAGAUCAAACCAACAUUGAUUGAACGGUUAUCCUUGAUCCUUUAGGUCAGUGGAGCUUGAUCCCGAAAGAGAGUCCUGAUUGGGCACCAACAGGAGGCGGGCGCCCUGGUCCCUAGGGCGGGCGCCCUGGGCCAGGCCCCGUUCUGCCUCCGCUUCGUUCUUGUGGCUUCUAGAGUCUUCUAGAUGAUAGAAAAUUGCGCGGCACGUUAAUAUCUCUAUGUAAUCCUGACGUGUGGGCCUUUCUUCCGUAUUUCCUGAUAACCCCCUACCGAAAUAGAAAAACACCAAAACUCAUGGAAUUCUGUCAGAUAAAACCCUAAGUCUGGGUGUCGGUUGCAUUUUGAUCCUUUUGUUUAUUUAUUUGUUGAUUAUAUUUGAUACUUAAGGACCGUCAACAAACUCCCCCAAGCAUACCUCUUGCUCGUCCCUGAGCAAGGAUAAUCUCAGUGAUGGAUCACAAGCUGCUGUAAUGCCUUUAAAAGUUGACGGUACACAUGCUUUCAAAUGAGGUAUCAUCUCUGAGUUAGAGUAAACCGUAAGAUUUAAAUCUUACUCAUUUUACCUUUCACCAUGGGACUUGUAACCGUCACUUAUGUCUUGAGUAGUUAAAAGAUAGAACAGUCUAAUCAAGUGCCGUGUCUCUUAUUCUUGAUCAGCUAUAGCUCUGGAGUUUUUGCAGAUUUUCAAAUAAAACUCAAAGAUUCCUUGUAUGACUCUCUCAGAUCUCUCGUUUGUGGUAUUUCUAGAUCCUUACCAUGGCAGUGAUGGUAUAUGCCUUCUCUCAAGUAUGUAGUAUUUGUGGUAUAAGGCAUAGUGACAUUGCCUUCUCUCUCAUCCUACUCUCAUAAGGCUUUGAUAUCUGGAGCUCAUAGGUGGGAGAUAAAGUAUACAUACUUACAAGACAUUUAUUGCAUAGUCAAACCAUGGAUCUAGAAAAACAAGUCAAUAAGUCAAAUCAAGAUGUGCAUGUGUGGCGAAUGAAUGGUGUAUGGUGAUAACAAUGGUGAAAGUCUAAUUCUACUUUUGCUCUUUUGAGGGGAUACAUACCUUUCUUGCUCUUUUGAAACUUUUAAAUUUUGAGGAGAAUGAGAUGCUCUAUAUUUUCUUUUUCUUUCCUCUCAGGUGGGUAUUUUGUACCCCUAAUUCUACUGUCGAACACUUGUCCAUUUUUACCUCUCGUCUCACUUUUUUCUUUUCUUUCGAGGUUUUGGGCACUUGCCCCUUUUUAUUUCCUCGUAUCUUUCUCUCUUCUUUCUUUAGAGCACUUAUCUCAUGAAAUAAUAUAGCAAGUGGUAGUAACCAAGAUAAGUUGAGCAUUUAUUUCACAGGGGAAAACAGAAAUAUUUUUGGCUAUUCUCUCCCGGAUUAGGAGUAGAAUAUUUUUGGGUGGUUCUGGAGAUGGAAAUGAGUGGAUAUAUGUGGAUGGUACUUCCGGAGUAGAAGCAACAUGUGUGAGUGAACGUGCAAGUGAAUCUUGAUUUAACCACAUGACAAGCUCCUAAGGGUCUACACAGCUUGACCACACUCAAUGCUCAUAAGUAGUAAAGUAAAUGUGUGGCUCAAAGUCUAGCAAGCAUGUAUAUAUGGCUGUGGUAGGAAUUUAAACUCUCAUCAUACAGAAACUCAUCAUACAAUAUUUUAAAGAUUUUAAAAGAUAAAAUUCUCCAGAUUUCUAGCAUCUCUAGGAACAGAUAAACAGCAGCUCAACCUUCCCAUAUCAUAUCCGUUAACAACUUAGACUUUAGGUCAAGUUCUCUUCUCACAAGUUUAGGUUUAGAGCAAGCUUUAAAUUAUAUCAGUUAUGUCUAAACUAGAGAGAAAACUUAAAUUUGAAAAUUAGGCAAAGCAACUAUUCAUCACAUCCAUGCUAGAGUUUUAUUAUUAGGGUUCAGUUUAGCAUAGCCACUUUAUUUAUUUAUUAAACACACUAAGCAAAAGAUAUAUAUAUAUAAGCAUAAAAUCUUUAUUUGGUUUUUCAUAGUUAUGUAUAUUUAUAUUUUAAUAUAGUAUAAGUAUAAAGAUAGAUAGAAAUACUUAGCGAGAUAAAUGGGGGUGCUCUCCCCCAAGCUGAAUUUUGACGUAAUUUCUUCUGAUGUAGCUAGCUAGCAGGUGACAGAGGUGUAUUUGAAAGUCGGCAGUACCCUGACAGCGAUUAGAAUGUCCUCCGUCUGCUAGUCUUCUUGAUUCUUAAAUUCUGUGGAGCUCAAAUAGACAACAAAGCUUUGUGAAACCCAUUAAGUGUUAGUAUAAAUAUCUAGCCUUUAUCAUGUUGAGCCUCCCCAAUAAAUAUUACUCUCUAUUUUUAUUUUUUCAUUUUAUAGAGCAGAAUAAAUAUUUAUUUUAUUUUUAUGCCACCACAGUGAAUGUACUUAUGGAGUUUAUGCCACUCGUAUACUCACAUGGGGCUUACUGUUUUUUUAACAUUUUUAUUUUCUUUUUAGGAUAGUAUGAACAUAAUUAACUAAGUAAACUACUUUAGAUAUUUAAAAGGGAAAGGAUAACUACCAAGUUUACCUCUUGGUAUGGCGUUCGGUGUUUUUAAGUCCUCCGAACGGGACUCUCCAUUUUCUCAGUUGUCCUAGGGUUCGUUGGGUGGCGCAGUCGGUGCUUCCAGCGGUGCCUCCUCUUCGUGUAUAGUUAUCUUCUCUUUCCACACCUGACUCGGUGCUACGGUCACCUCAGGAUAGUCUUGUUCAAGCUAUAUGUCUUCAGACCUUACUACUUCUCCUUCAUAGUCAACCCAUCCAUCCUUGAUGAUUUGCCUCUUCUAGUUGCGGUUGCGUCGUCUUCUUCUAACCUGCUUAGAGUCUUCAACGAUAUAGUUAGGGUCAGUAAAAUAGCGGCGUACCUUCUCUGAGGGGAAGUGCAAAUGGACUUCUCCAUUUCCAAUGUAGAUGAUUGCUUUAACAGUGCUGAGGAACGGUCUGUUGACACUAGCUAACUCCACUUAGAUACUAGGUUGUCAUCCCUAGCAUGGCGCCAGAGUGUACAAAGGUAUUUAUAAAUGUAAAGGCUCUCUAGAAAAUAAUCUAUUCAAUCCGCAAGUGCACAGAUAAAACACCUCAUUGUAGCAUUUCACCAGGAUAAGUAUUCCAGGUAUCGUUAUUUAUAAUUCUGCUUAACAGAACAAAAGGGAUGAAAUUAAAUUAAGGACAAAAUCUAUCAAGGCAUAGACUAGAGAUAAACUUGCAAGAACAUGAUUACUAAUGAGAAACUCGUCACACAGUCACUUACUUUGGCAGGGGGUAAACCAUAAAGAUAAUGAUAAUGAAUUAUAAGUUCAAGGGAUAAAGAACAUAGCGAUUAGAAAAUAGACUACUCCUCAUAUAUGUAGGUGAUGUCGGAUUAGCUAUAGAAUGGAUUCUAAGUUAUCUACUAACUAUUAAGUCAUAAUCUACUCUAGUUAUCUACAAGAUCAUAUAUAGCAUAAAAGACUCUUCAUUCAUGUAUAAGGAACAUUGAUAAAGUAAAUCAGAGCAUCGCACGACUUACUCCACAAUACCGGUUCUGCCUGUCCUAUCAACGGAGGGUGGGCUAUAUAAGAAUCAAUGAAGCUGUCACUAUCGCGAACUACCACACGACCCGGCCAAUAGGAUACAUUUGCCGAUAAAUAACAUCUAAGCACCACGCUCACAUGUGAUCUAUCACCUAACUCCCUCGCGUCAAGAGCUAAGCGCUUUGCAAACUUAUACAUAAACUCAUUAUCAAUCAUAACUAUAUCAAAUAUAGAACUAGAGCAAACUAAGAACAUAAUA